RNAcentral lists this non-coding RNA (115 nucleotides) under human gut metagenome. RNAcentral's name for it is "THF riboswitch". It matches the Rfam family "THF (Tetrahydrofolate) riboswitch aptamer". Rfam says of the family: THF riboswitch presents a pseudoknot that joins P1-P2 and the loop of P3 and two THF binding. The record is from RNAcentral.
GCAGAGUAGGAUUCCGCGCGUUGCGCGCGUUGCGCGCUGGAGUGCUUUCCGGACGGGGAGUUGCCGGGGAGACGAAGAGCUUUUCGCUCGCGGUGCGGAGUUCGCAUCCCGCUGC